CUGUACCUGAUCCGGGGUGAUAAAAUGAAUGUGAGUAUCCACGCCACCAGCGGUGACUAUGUUUCGUUCCCCAGAAAUUACAUCAGUACCAGAUCCAACAAACAUAUUCGGAUAGACCCCAUCCAUAACAUCAGGGUUCCCCGCUUUUCCGAUACCGACAAUAUUUCCAUCCUUAAUGCCGAUAUCAGCUACAUAAAUCCCAGUCCAAUCGACAAUAAGUGCAUUCGUAAUAACGGUGUCCAGUACGUCGUCUGAGCAUCUUCCGGACGCUUGGCCCAUGCCUUCUCUCAA
This is a small RNA of 291 nucleotides. It matches the Rfam family "5' ureB small RNA". The record is from Rfam.